RNAcentral lists this ribosomal RNA (439 nucleotides) under uncultured bacterium. RNAcentral describes it as "partial 16S ribosomal RNA". It matches the Rfam family "Bacterial small subunit ribosomal RNA", at positions 339 to 795 of the family's 1533-position model. The record is from RNAcentral.
CUACGGGCCGCUGCAGUGAGGAAUAUUGCACAAUGGGGGGAACCCUGAUGCAGCAACGCCGCGUGGAGGAUGACGCAUUUCGGUGUGUAAACUCCUUUUAUAUGUCAAGAAAAUGACGGUAGCAUAUGAAUAAGCACCGGCUAACUCCGUGCCAGCAGCAGCGGUAAUACGGAGGGUGCAAGCGUUACUAGGAAUCACUGGGCGUAAAGGACGCGUAGGCGGGUUGGAAAGUCAGGUGUGAAAUCCUACAGCUUAACUGUAGAACUGCACUUGAAACUUCUAAUCUAGAGUAUGGGAGGGGGAGAUGGAAUUAGUGGUGUAGGGGUAAAAUCCGUAGAUAUCACUAGGAAUACCUAAAGCGAAGGCGAUCUCCUGGAACAUUACUGACGCUAAGGCGUGAAAGCGUGGGGAGCAAACAGGAUUAGAUACCCCGGUAGUC